RNAcentral lists this ribosomal RNA (253 nucleotides) under uncultured bacterium. RNAcentral's name for it is "partial 16S ribosomal RNA". It matches the Rfam family "Bacterial small subunit ribosomal RNA", at positions 524 to 776 of the family's 1533-position model. The record is from RNAcentral.
UACAGAGGGGGCGAGCGUUAUUCGGAAUUAUUGGGCGUAAAGGGCGCGUAGGCGGCUUUGCAAGUGACGGGUGAAAUCCCUCGGCUUAACCGAGGAACUGCCUGUCAAACUGCAUGGCUUGAGACCGGGAGAGGUGAGUGGAAUUCCCAGUGUAGCGGUGAAAUGCUUAGAUAUUGGGAGGAACACCAGUGGCGAAGGCGGCUCACUGGACCGGUACUGACGCUGAGGCCCGAAAGCGUGGGUAGCAAACAGG